AAAUUGAAGAGUUUGAUCAUGGCUCAGAUUGAACGCUGGCGGCAGGCCUAACACAUGCAAGUCGAGCGGUAGCACAGAGAGCUUGCUCUCGGGUGACGAGCGGCGGACGGGUGAGUAAUGUCUGGGAAACUGCCUGAUGGAGGGGGAUAACUACUGGAAACGGUAGCUAAUACCGCAUAACGUCGCAAGACCAAAGUGGGGGACCUUCGGGACUCAUGCCAUCAGAUGUGCCGAGAGGGGAUUAGCUAGUAGGUGGGGUAACGGCUCACCUAGGCGACGAUCCCUAGCUGGUCUGAGAGGAUGAUCAGCCACACUGGAACUGAGACACGGUCGAGACUCCUACGGGAGGCAGCAGUGGGGAAUCUGUAUCUU
This 372-nucleotide ribosomal RNA is filed under the name Klebsiella pneumoniae. Its description in RNAcentral is "bacterial SSU rRNA". It matches the Rfam family "Bacterial small subunit ribosomal RNA", at positions 1 to 371 of the family's 1533-position model. The record is from RNAcentral. Lineage: Bacteria; Pseudomonadati; Pseudomonadota; Gammaproteobacteria; Enterobacterales; Enterobacteriaceae.